CAUUGACAUAGCAUUCAGAUAAACUGCACCUUUUUUCUAUUAUCAUAGCAGGAGAAAUAGUCAGUGGAGAGAUGAAAUAACAGAUUAUAAGGAUCAGGCAAUACUGGCUGACUAUAUAAAUAGUGUAAAUGAGAAUAAACGAUUGCAUUACGUGCUAGGUAGAUUAAGAAUAUGGUUAAAGGACCACUAUGGUGCCAGGAAACCAAACUCUUUUUCCUGG
Pelobates cultripes (western spadefoot toad) is the source of this 220-nucleotide non-coding RNA. Lineage: Eukaryota; Metazoa; Chordata; Amphibia; Anura; Pelobatidae. The record is from the annotation of a GenBank genome assembly.